AUGGCGGAUGUCGACUUGAAUAUCGACAAUCUGAUACAGAGAUUGUUGGAAGUAUACCACACGCAGAAAGACCAGGUUCAGAAGAAAGCCAAGCUAAAAGAUAUUUUCUCGUCGGACUUUGUCGUCAGAGGAUGUCGGCCGGGCAAGACCGUUGUCAUGACGGAGGCCGAGGUACGUGGCCUCUGUCUGAAGUCGCGGGAGAUUUUCCUGCAACAGCCGAUUCUGCUGGAAUUGGAGGCGCCGCUUAAGAUCUGCGGCGACAUACACGGCCAAUAUACCGACCUGCUGCGGCUCUUUGAGUACGGCGGCUUUCCGCCCGAAGCGAACUAUCUGUUCCUGGGCGAUUACGUUGACCGAGGGAAGCAAUCCUUGGAGACAAUAUGCUUGCUGUUGGCAUACAAAAUCAAAUAUCCGGAGAACUUCUUCUUGCUGCGCGGCAAUCACGAAUGCGCUAGUAUAAACAGGAUAUAUGGCUUUUACGACGAGUGUAAGCGGCGGUAUAACAUCAAGCUUUGGAAGACCUUCACAGACUGCUUUAACUGCUUACCGAUCGCCGCGAUUAUCGAUGAAAAAAUCUUCUGUUGCCAUGGCGGACUCAGUCCUGACCUGCAGGGAAUGGAGCAAAUUAGAAGAAUCAUGCGUCCAACUGAUGUACCUGAUACUGGUCUCCUCUGUGAUCUUUUAUGGUCCGAUCCUGAUAAGGAUGUUCAGGGUUGGGGUGAAAACGAUAGAGGAGUUUCAUUCACAUUCGGUCCAGACGUCGUGUCGAAGUUCCUGAAUCGUCAUGAUAUGGAUCUCAUAUGCAGGGCACAUCAAGUGGUCGAGGAUGGCUAUGAAUUUUUCGCCAAGCGACAACUCGUCACACUUUUCUCUGCGCCAAACUACUGUGGCGAAUUUGAUAAUGCCGGCGGAAUGAUGAGUGUUGACGAAACGUUAAUGUGCAGUUUCCAGAUCUUGAAACCAUCAGAAAAGAAAGCAAAAUACCAAUAUGGAGGAAUGAAUACGGGUCAAGCAGGUAGACCAUCUACACCACAAAGGAAUCCAGCGAAAAAGAAAUGACAGCCUUCAACCGAACCUGCACAACAAACGCGAUUAUCCUUAAUGGAGGCUAUCAUGCUAGUUAUUAUAGUUGAGAAGACGAUCCGGAAACACGAAGACCGUACAUCAAAACUGAAAACUCAGAAGCAGAAAUCAAUCAAAUGCAACGGGCCUUUUCGUGGCAACGACACUACGAUUGGUUCUCAAAUUAUUAUGCUAUAUUUUACUCAAUGGUUGUUUAUUAUUUGAUUGCUAUUUAACGUCGAAUACCAUUUGACAUAGUUAUUUAUUGUUUGAUAUACGAGAGAGAUGCAGUGUAAAUUUUUGUUUUAGAAUUGGAGCCGAUAAAACGAAAGGUGUCCUUUCCAUCCUUCCCUCCCUGCGUUUCUCCCCUAAUCCUCCCAAACUGAAGCGCAAGAUUAGUUAUUGUCAAAGGAGCGGUUGUGAUUCCUUGAUAUAUGCGUUCUUUUCGUCCGAGAUUCAUAUAUUAUAUACAGAUAUUAUAUUUGUAAAGGGUUGGCCGGUCGCGAUUCGACGAUACUUUACUAAAUAAAUAAUUAAGACGCUCUCGUGGGAGGAGCUUGCGCGCGCGCGACUAUGGAUUGUUACAUCGUUCGAAUCGCCGAUGACGGAACACGCUAUGCAAUGGCAUCCUAGAGAUGUAAAACUUUCAGAUAAUAAAUAUGCAUAUUGUUGUACAAA
This is an RNA transcript of Cyphomyrmex costatus, 1740 nucleotides long. It is a transcript of the gene named serine/threonine-protein phosphatase PP1-beta catalytic subunit, with no coding region annotated. The transcript has 7 exons. The record is from RefSeq and is a predicted model, not a curated record. Lineage: Eukaryota; Metazoa; Arthropoda; Insecta; Hymenoptera; Formicidae.